GCCCCGGUAAACGGCGGCCGUAACUAUAACGGUCCUAAGGUAGCGAAAUUCCUUGUCGGGUAAGUUCCGACCUGCACGAAUGGCGUAAUGAUGGCCAGGCUGUCUCCACCCGAGACUCAGUGAAAUUGAACUCGCUGUGAAGAUGCAGUGUACCCGCGGCAAGACGGAAAGACCCCGUGAACCUUUACUAUAGCUUGACACUGAACAUUGAGCCUUGAUGUGUAGGAUAGGUGGGAGGCUUUGAAGUGUGGACGCCAGUCUGCAUGGAGCCGGCCUUGAAAUACCACCCUUUAAUGUUUGAUGUUCUAACGUUGGCCCGUAAUCCGGGUUGCGGACAGUGUCUGGUGGGUAGUUUGACUGGGGCGGUCUCCUCCUAAAGAGUAACGGAGGAGCACGAAGGUUGGCUAAUCCUGGUCGGACAUCAGGAGGUUAGUGCAAUGGCAUAAGCCAGCUUGACUGCGAGCGUGACGGCGCGAGCAGGUGCGAAAGCAGGUCAUAGUGAUCCGGUGGUUCUGAAUGGAAGGGCCAUCGCUCAACGGAUAAAAGGUACUCCGGGGAUAACAGGCUGAUACCGCCCAAGAGUUCAUAUCGACGGCGGUGUUUGGCACCUCGAUGUCGGCUCAUCACAUCCUGGGGCUGAAGUAGGUCCCAAGGGUAUGGCUGUUCGCCAUUUAAAGUGGUACGCGAGCUGGGUUUAGAACGUCGUGAGACAGUUCGGUCCCUAUCUGCCGUGGGCGCUGGAGAACUGAGGGGGGCUGCUCCUAGUACGAGAGGACCGGAGUGGACGCAUCACUGGUGUUCGGGUUGUCAUGCCAAUGGCACUGCCCGGUAGCUAAAUGCGGAAGAGAUAAGUGCUGAAAGCAUCUAAGCACGAAACUUGCCCCGAGAUGAGUUCUCCCUGACUCCUUGAGGGUCCUGAAGGAACGUUGAAGACGACGACGUUGAUAGGCCGGGUGUGUAAGCGCAGCGAUGCGUUGAGCUAACCGGUACUAAUGAACCGUGAGGCUUAACCUU
Molecule: ribosomal RNA, 1014 nt
Filed under: Escherichia coli
Lineage: Bacteria; Pseudomonadati; Pseudomonadota; Gammaproteobacteria; Enterobacterales; Enterobacteriaceae
Description: partial 23S ribosomal RNA
Rfam family: Bacterial large subunit ribosomal RNA
Source: RNAcentral